This 461-nucleotide ribosomal RNA is filed under the name uncultured Entrophospora. RNAcentral's name for it is "SSU rRNA". It matches the Rfam family "Eukaryotic small subunit ribosomal RNA", at positions 569 to 1028 of the family's 1831-position model. The record is from RNAcentral. Lineage: Eukaryota; Fungi; Glomeromycota; Glomeromycetes; Entrophosporales; Entrophosporaceae.
AGCAGCCGCGGUAAUUCCAGCUCCAAUAGCGUAUAUUAAAGUUGUUGCAGUUAAAAAGCUCGUAGUUGAAUUUCGGGAUUGACACAUCGGUCGUGCCUUAAGGGGUAUGAACUGGUGUAGUCAAUUUCUCACCUUCUGGAGAACCGCGAUGCCCUUAAUUGGGUGUCGCGGGGAACCAGGACCUUUACUUUGAAAAAAUUAGAGUGUUUAAAGCAGGCAUUUUGCUUGAAUACAUUAGCAUGGAAUAAUAAAAUAGGACGGCAUGAUUCUAUUUUGUUGGUUUCUAGGAUCACCGUAAUGAUUAAUAGGGAUAGUUGGGGGCAUUAGUAUUCAAUUGUCAGAGGUGGAAUUCUUGGAUUUAUUGAAGACUAACUACUGCGAAAGCAUUUGCCAAGGAUGUUUUCAUUAAUCAAGAACGAAAGUUAGGGGAUCGAAGACGAUCAGAUACCGUCGUAGUCUUA